RNAcentral lists this small RNA (136 nucleotides) under Amphidinium massartii. RNAcentral describes it as "partial Cyanobacteria transfer-messenger RNA". Lineage: Eukaryota; Dinophyceae; Amphidiniales; Amphidiniaceae. The record is from RNAcentral.
CAGCUCGUCUUCACGAGCGCCACCGACAGUGGUUCGCAGCAGUGCGAUUCGCCCUCAGCUCCACAGUCGGCAUGCACAGGAUCGGCCGCAACGAGGUCGAUCGCAGCAAAGUGCUCAGUCAGUGCAUAGACGCAUU